UACGGAGGGGGCUAGCGUUGUUCGGAAUUACUGGGCGUAAAGGGCGCGUAGGCGGCUCGAUAAGUUGGGCGUGAAAGGCCCGGGCUCAACCCGGGGACUGCGCUUGAUACUGUCGAGCUGGAGGCAGGUAGGGGAGAUCGGAAUUCCCGGUGUAGCGGUGAAAUGCGCAGAUAUCGGGAGGAACACCGGUGGCGAAGGCGGAUCUCUGGGCCUGUCCUGACGCUCAGACGCGAAAGCUAGGGGAGCAAACAGG
This 253-nucleotide ribosomal RNA is filed under the name uncultured bacterium. RNAcentral's name for it is "partial 16S ribosomal RNA". It matches the Rfam family "Bacterial small subunit ribosomal RNA", at positions 524 to 776 of the family's 1533-position model. The record is from RNAcentral.